Molecule: ribosomal RNA, 711 nt
Filed under: uncultured bacterium
Lineage: Bacteria
Description: bacterial SSU rRNA
Rfam family: Bacterial small subunit ribosomal RNA
Source: RNAcentral
UUAGAUACCCUGGUAGUCCACGCUGUAAACGAUGAAUACUAGGUGUAGGGGGUAUCGACUCCCUCUGUGCCGCCGCUAACGCAUUAAGUAUUCCGCCUGGGGACUACGGCCGCAAGGUUGAAACUCAAAGAAAUUGACGGGGACCCGCACAAGCAGCGGAGCAUGUGGUUUAAUUCGACGCAACGCGAAAAACCUUACCAGGCCUUGACAUCGAGUGAAAGUCCAAGAGAUUGGACCCUCCUUCGGGACACGAAGACAGGUGCUGCAUGGUUGUCGUCAGCUCGUGUCGUGAGAUGUUAGGUUAAGUCCUGCAACGAGCGCAACCCUCAUAUGUAGUUGCCAUCAUUAAGUUGGGCACUCUGCAUAGACUGCCGUGGUUAACACGGAGGAAGGUGGGGAUGACGUCAAAUCAUCACGGCCCUUACGGCCUGGGCUACACACGUGCUACAAUGGCUAUUACAAAGAGUUGCAAUACAGCAAUGUGGAGCGAAUCUCAAAAAGAUGNUCUCAGUUCGGACUGUGGGCUGCAACCCGCCCACACGAAGUCGGAGUUGCUAGUAAUCCCGAAUCACAUGUCGGGGUGAAUGCGUUCCCGGGUCUUGUCACACCGCCCGUCCGCCAUGGGAGUCGGGAGUGCCCAAAGUCGGUGACCUAACCGCAAGGAAGAACCCGCUAAGUAAUGCCGAUGACUGGGGGUGAAGUCNUACCAAG